RNAcentral lists this ribosomal RNA (253 nucleotides) under uncultured bacterium. Its description in RNAcentral is "partial 16S ribosomal RNA". It matches the Rfam family "Bacterial small subunit ribosomal RNA", at positions 524 to 776 of the family's 1533-position model. The record is from RNAcentral.
UACGUAGGGUGCAAGCGUUAUCCGGAUUUAUUGGGCGUAAAGGGCUCGUAGGCGGUUCGUCGCGUCCGGUGUGAAAGUCCAUCGCUUAACGGUGGAUCCGCGCCGGGUACGAGCGGGCUUGAGUGCGGUAGGGGAGACUGGAAUUCCCGGCGUAACGGUGGAAUGUGUAGAUAUCGGGAAGAACACCAAUGGCGAAGGCAGGUCUCUGGGCCGUUACUGACGCUGAGGAGCGAAAGCGUGGGGAGCGAACAGG